Molecule: ribosomal RNA, 729 nt
Filed under: Morganella morganii
Lineage: Bacteria; Pseudomonadati; Pseudomonadota; Gammaproteobacteria; Enterobacterales; Morganellaceae
Description: partial 23S ribosomal RNA
Rfam family: Bacterial large subunit ribosomal RNA
Source: RNAcentral
ACCCUUUAACGUUUGAUGUUCUAACCCGGGUCCAUAAUCUGGAUCGGGGACCGUGUCUGGUGGGUAGUUUGACUGGGGCGGUCUCCUCCCAAAGAGUAACGGAGGAGCACGAAGGUUGGCUAAGCAUGGUCGGACAUCAUGCGGUUAGUGCAAAGGCAUAAGCCAGCUUGACUGCGAGAGUGACGGCUCGAGCAGGUACGAAAGUAGGUCUUAGUGAUCCGGUGGUUCUGAAUGGAAGGGCCAUCGCUCAACGGAUAAAAGGUACUCCGGGGAUAACAGGCUGAUACCGCCCAAGAGUUCAUAUCGACGGCGGUGUUUGGCACCUCGAUGUCGGCUCAUCACAUCCUGGGGCUGAAGUAGGUCCCAAGGGUAUGGCUGUUCGCCAUUUAAAGUGGUACGCGAGCUGGGUUUAGAACGUCGUGAGACAGUUCGGUCCCUAUCUGCCGUGGGCGCUGGAAGAUUGAGAGGGGUUGCUCCUAGUACGAGAGGACCGGAGUGAACGCACCACUGGUGUACGGGUUGUGAUGCCAAUUGCAUUGCCCGGUAGCUAAGUGCGGAAGAGAUAACCGCUGAAAGCAUCUAAGCGGGAAACUUGCCUCGAGAUGAGUCUUCCCUGACCCUUUAAGGGUCCUGAAGGAACGUUUGAGACUAAGACGUUGAUAGGCUGGGUGUGUAAGCGCAGCGAUGCGUUGAGCUGACCAGUACUAAUGAACCGGGAGGCUUAACCUG